UGAAUGGAAAGCGUGGCAAAGAAAGAAGGACGAAAUGGGGGUCGGAAUGAGAAGAAGAAUACCAAUGGAAUAGCGAUUCGAUGUUAAGAAAGAGCAGGAUGGAGCAAGGACCGACAGAAGUAUUCACUAAUGAUGUCUUGGGUACAGUCGCGCAUUAUUUUGUACAGUGGGCCCUGGGCAAGCAUUUCUCCUUUUCCUCUCGCCAAAAAUAAGUUUCUUACCUACAAGUGAUUCUAAGUCACUCAACUAAUCACCUUGAGGUAAGCGAACAUAUGAAAUAUAACGUUCUGGAAUUUUUGGUGCUUGAGUGCGCUUUAGUCGGGUUUGAUACAAUCAUAUGCAAAUUAGCAGAUCUUAAACUAAAAAUCAACAACCCCUCAGAUUCCUGUAUGCGAGUCACUCGCGAGGAACACGACUUUGCAGCUGUGCCCUGGUGUCCUCGGCCUGGUCCUCUGCUUGGACGGGACGUUACCGGACACUUGAUCGUCUGACCAGGGGGACUGAACACAUCGCGAAAACUGGUUUUCUCACGGUAAACCAAAUCAAUCCGGUACAAGAGGGUUGAGUUAGUCGGGUUGGGAAAAGCCGAGCCAGAUGGCCAUGCGAGUUGCGUUGGGGUUGGCGUUAGGUCAGUUGGUUAAAAUUUGCAUAAACAUCAUACCUUCGACAAUUAAAAUCAGUACCGCUAUAAACUGGUCAGACUGGUUCUGUAUCUUAUAACCAGAAUAUGCAGAAAUUCGAGCCCUUUUUAAAUGUCCGAUGUUACUCUUCUUCUUAGCUCUAAGCCUUAUUUUCCGUAGCGCAACUCACCACACGUCCUCUCUCACAUGUGAAUAUAUAAUGUAUGAGCUCUGCACGUCCGCGUGACUUUGUCAAACAAUUUUUCAUUUUCUCAUUUCAAGUUUUACUACGAACCGCCGCAGUUGAAUUUAAAGAAAGUUAGCGCACACACGUAUAUAGGCGAACCUCUUAUGUUUAUUGACUAAAAUUAACGCAGGGGCAAAGUAAAAGUAAAAAGAUAGUAAUUAGAAAAUACAAUGCACUGUUCAAGAUACAAAAAGACGUCUAUGCCAACCACUGGGAAAUGAACAAAAUGGAAACAGCCUCACCUACAGUCUUUCCCUACCCAAUUUGACAUAAAAUAAAAUCUUAUCGAGAGGUCGAAUAAAUAGAAGAAGAAAUAUA
Long non-coding RNA from Drosophila eugracilis, 1185 nucleotides. RefSeq lists it as uncharacterized. NCBI's taxonomy places the organism in Eukaryota, Metazoa, Arthropoda, Insecta, Diptera, Drosophilidae. The transcript has 2 exons. The record is from RefSeq and is a predicted model, not a curated record.